Molecule: non-coding RNA, 80 nt
Organism: Hymenopellis radicata
Lineage: Eukaryota; Fungi; Basidiomycota; Agaricomycetes; Agaricales; Physalacriaceae
Source: the annotation of a GenBank genome assembly
ACUCCGAUGCUGAAGCGGUUAUCAUGCUUGCCUUCCGUGUGUAUAAGCAAGCGUCAGGGGUUCGACUCCCCUUCGGUGUA